RNAcentral lists this ribosomal RNA (301 nucleotides) under uncultured bacterium. RNAcentral describes it as "partial 16S ribosomal RNA". It matches the Rfam family "Bacterial small subunit ribosomal RNA", at positions 509 to 807 of the family's 1533-position model. The record is from RNAcentral.
CAGUAGCCGCGGUAAUACGAAGGGUGCAAGCGUUACUCGGAAUUACUGGGCGUAAAGCGUGCGUAGGUGGUCGUUUAAGUCUGUUGUGAAAGCCCUGGGCUCAACCUGGGAACUGCAGUGGAAACUGGACGACUAGAGUGUGGUAGAGGGUAGCGGAAUUCCUGGUGUAGCAGUGAAAUGCGUAGAGAUCAGGAGGAACAUCCAUGGCGAAGGCAGCUACCUGGACCAACACUGACACUGAGGCACGAAAGCGUGGGGAGCAAACAGGAUUAGAUACCCGUGUAGUCCCUGUCUCUUAUAC